RNAcentral lists this ribosomal RNA (242 nucleotides) under Muribaculaceae bacterium Isolate-037 (Harlan). Its description in RNAcentral is "partial 23S ribosomal RNA". It matches the Rfam family "Bacterial large subunit ribosomal RNA", at positions 1 to 263 of the family's 2925-position model. Lineage: Bacteria; Pseudomonadati; Bacteroidota; Bacteroidia; Bacteroidales; Muribaculaceae. The record is from RNAcentral.
GAUCGAAGGGCGCAUGGGGGAUGCCUUGGCUCUCGGAGGCGAGGAAGGACGUGACAAGCUGCGAUAAGCCACGGCGAGGGGCAAAUACCCAUUGACCCGUGGAUCUCCGAAUGGGGCAACCCGGCGGGAGCGAUCCCGUCACCCUGCAGAGCAGGGGGCGAACGUGGGGAACUGAAACAUCUAAGUACCCGCAGGAAGAGAAAGUAAGAACGAUUCCCCAAGUAGCGGCGAGCGAACGGGGA